RNAcentral lists this transfer RNA (64 nucleotides) under Agrianome spinicollis. Its description in RNAcentral is "tRNA-Asn". The record is from RNAcentral. Lineage: Eukaryota; Metazoa; Arthropoda; Insecta; Coleoptera; Cerambycidae.
UUAAUUGAAACCAAAAUAGAGGUAUAUCACUGUUAAUGAUAUCAUUGGGAAAUCCCCGGUUAAA